Balaenoptera acutorostrata (minke whale) is the source of this 2381-nucleotide RNA transcript. It is a transcript of the gene named solute carrier family 52 member 2, with no coding region annotated. The transcript is spliced from 7 exons. The record is from RefSeq and is a predicted model, not a curated record. NCBI's taxonomy places the organism in Eukaryota, Metazoa, Chordata, Mammalia, Artiodactyla, Balaenopteridae.
GAGGGGCGGUGCCCGCCGCGGCCACACCCCCAGCCCCGACUUGGCUUCGCUGUCCGGGGUCUCGCAGAAGCCGCAGAGGUGUGCUUGGCGCCUGAGAGGUGGACCUGUCUAGGAGUCCUUGUCCCGUAUCCGUGGGGGUGGGGAAAGAAGAGCUGGCUGUGACCUUUGCCCUGUCUUGGAGGCUCCAGCCUUGGGCUAAAUGGCAGCACCCCCGCUGGGCCGUCUGGUGCUGACCCACGUGCUGGUAGCCCUCUUUGGCAUGGGCUCAUGGGCUACCAUCAACGGAAUCUGGGUGGAGCUGCCUGUGGUGGUGAAAGACCUCCCCGAGGGUUGGAGUCUCCCCUCCUACCUCUCUGUGCUUGUGGCGUUGGGGAACCUGGGUCUGCUGGUGGUGACCCUGUGGAGGCGGCUGGCCCCGGACAAGGGCGAGCGGGCCCCCAUCCAAGUGGUGCAGGCGCUGAGCGUGGUGGGCACGGCCCUGUUGGCCCCUCUGUGGCCCCACGUGGCGACAGUGGCGGGGCAGGAGCACUCCGUGGCCUUCCUUGCUCUCUCCUUCGUGCUGGCGCUGGCCUGUUGUGCUUCGAAUGUCACUUUCCUGCCCUUCCUGAGCCGCUUGCCGCCUUCCUUCUUGCGGUCCUUCUUCCUGGGUCAGGGCCUCAGUGCCCUGCUGCCCUGUGUGCUGGCCCUAGUGCAGGGUGUGGGUCGCCUCGAGUGCCCACCAACCCCCACCAAUGGCACUCCUGGGCCCCCCAUUGACUUCCCAGAGCGUUUUCCUGCCAGCACUUUUUUUGGAGUCUUGUCCGCCUUAUUAGUCGUUUCAGCUGCCGCCUUUCAGGGUCUUCUGGUGCUAUUGCCGUCACCACCGUCUGUACCUACAGGAGGCCCAGGGCCUGGCCUGCAGGUGGGAGCCCCAGCAGUGGAGGAAGAGGAAGAGGCCUCACCCCUGCAGGAGUCUUCCAGCAAGGCGGCAGGCACCACCCGCAGCCCAGAACCUGUGGCCCAUCGGCUGCUCUCCACCCGUGGUGUCUGCCUGCUGGGCCUGCUGGCCGUCACCAACGCUCUGACCAAUGGCGUGUUGCCUGCUGUGCAGAGCUAUUCCUGCUUGCCCUAUGGGCGCCCAGCCUACCACUUGGCUGUGGUGCUGGGCAGUGCCGCCAAUCCCCUCGCCUGCUUCCUGGCCAUGGGUGUUCUAUGCAGGUCCCUGGCAGGGCUGGGCAGUCUCUCCUUGCUGGGCAUGCUCUUUGGGGCCUACUUGAUGGCGCUGGCAAUCCUGAGCCCCUGCCCACCUCUGGUGGGCACCUCUGCAGGGGUGGUCCUUGUGGUGGUGUCGUGGGUUCUGUGUCUCGGCGUGUUCUCAUACGUGAAGGUGGCUUCCAGCUCCCUGCUGCAUGGGGGCGGCCAGCAGUCGUUGCUGGCAGCUGGCGUGGCCAUCCAGGUGGGCUCUCUGCUCGGCGCCAUGGCCAUGUUCCCUCCCACCAGCAUCUACCAUGUGUUCCGCAGCGGGAAGGACUGUGUGGACCCCUGUGGCCCCUAAGCCUGAGCAGGCCCCCACCUCCAGCUCCUGAGCAGGGUGCUUCCCUGACCCACUUCCAAUCUGCGUAGAAGAGUCUCCUGGACGUCUGACCCUCUCAGAAAACCUCAAGCCAGGCCAGCGGGGGAAGAAGGCAGGACCUUCCUCGGCAGGACCACCCAGGAGGAGGUGGAAGAAGUUAACUGCAUGAUGACCAGGCUGUAGCCAUGACAGAAGCUGCCUCAAUUCCAAGAACUGGCCUCAAAGAAAAGGGAACAAACAGACCCUGGAACUGAAGAUUAACUGUACUUAAAACAAUCAAGAUGAUGCUGGUCAGACCACCAAAGACCAAUUUCAAGAUGACUGUCAGAGUUGACUGUGCUGUUUCUACACGUAGCCCCCUCCGUCUGUCUAUAAAAGCUCUUGCCCCCGAUUGCGGGGGGCGGGGGCAGUUGACCUUUGGACAGGUGUCACCCCCCCACCAGUUGCUGGCAUCCAAAAUAAAGAAACUUUCCUUUCCACAACGUUGCCUCUUUAUUGGCUUUUGAGCAGGGUGCAGCUGGACCCCACUUUCGGUUACAGUGACCAAUGGUAACUAGACUUAUCUUGGGGAUCAUUUUGUAAUGUAUAGAAAUACUGAAUCACUAUGUUGUUCACCUGGAACUAACCUAGUGUUGUAGGUCAAUUAUACAUCAAAACCAAACUCACAAGACGGGAAUAAAGACACAGACCUACUAGAGAAUGGACUUGAGGAUAUGGGGAGGGGGUGGGGUGAGAUGUGACAGGGUAAGAGAGUGUCAUGGACAUAUAUACACUACCAAAUGUAAAAUAGAUAGCUAGUGGGAAGCAGCCGCAUAGCACAGGGAGAUCA